GGAUUUAUCCGUUGGUCGGGCUUUUGGGUCUGUACUGGCGUGGUGGAUUUCUACCUUCUGAAUAACCAGCAUGUCAUUAAUUUGGUGCGCUGGCGAAGCAGGACUGUUACCUUGAAAAAAUUAGAGUGCUUAAAGCAGGCUAUUGCCUGAAUACAUUAGCAUGGAAUAAUGAAAUAGGACGGCAUGGUUCUAUUUUGUUGAUUUCUAGGAUCACCGUA
This 218-nucleotide ribosomal RNA is filed under the name Campeiostachys nutans. RNAcentral describes it as "Elymus nutans partial small subunit ribosomal RNA". The stretch from base 47 to 218 matches the Rfam family "Eukaryotic small subunit ribosomal RNA", at positions 692 to 864 of the family's 1831-position model. The record is from RNAcentral. Lineage: Eukaryota; Viridiplantae; Streptophyta; Magnoliopsida; Poales; Poaceae.